Molecule: unclassified non-coding RNA, 1091 nt
Filed under: Hevea brasiliensis (rubber tree)
Lineage: Eukaryota; Viridiplantae; Streptophyta; Magnoliopsida; Malpighiales; Euphorbiaceae
Source: RNAcentral
AUUACUGAUUUAUUCUCAUCAGAAGUGCAUCGUCGUUCAACCAACAGUAAAGCAUCUAUUACUGAUUUAUUCAUUCUCAUCUGAAGUCAGCAAUUCUGUUCGGGUACUGGCGUUUCUGUUCGGGUAUGGCGCCAAGCAGGCCGUUGGCGUUAGAUCACUUCUAAGUCGGCUCUGAAAGGAGGAUCGGUGGAUAUAGGGUUACUUACUCUCAUUUUCAAUCUUCAGCAGCAUACUUCCUUCUCUAGAGAAGCAAGAACUCACUUCUCGCGUUUUAAAUGUCAGGAUAUCAAUCCCCUUCAUCGAUUCUUCUAAGGUUUUCAUCAUAUAUGUGAUAGUCCAAGCUUGUAUUGGUCAGGACUCAAGAGACCUUUUACUGAUCAGGUUAAGACCCCCUCCUUUGCCUUAAAUUGUUUAACUUCUAUUGGGUCAAUGCCUCGCACAUGAAGGAAUUUUUACUUUUGUCAUAUUUAUCAACUGUUAGUGUGUUGUUAUGAGAAGGCGCUUUACACUAAUUUUGGGAGGAAUGGUGUUCAGUACCUCAAUGAAAUAGCUGUUAUACUUCCUAUUUAGAUUGAAAAUUUGAUCUAUGCUUACCUAGCUGAAGAGCCUUUCAAAUUUUGUUUCAGGUAUUCAAGUUUGCUUGCUUUACUUAGGUGUUCUCUCAUUUACAAAACUUUUCAAGACGAUAGUCUCUAGAACUUCAUAACUUGCAGGUCAGUGCAGCGGCAAAUUUUGGGAUGACUUGCAACUAGAUACAUUGUACUAUGUGGAAUUAUAACAGCAGUGGAGGAAGAACUUGGGGUUCAAAUCCCAGAUGACAAACCAACCCCAGAACUUGUUGACUACAUUGCAAAUGCAAAAUGAGAUUCAUGCUGUUGUCAGGUGAAAUCCUUUUCACAAAUUUGUUGUCUUCUCUUGCUAAUUGUUGAUGCAACUUUCAUUUGGUAGUUUGUAAAAAUAUUCACAUGGCUAAGUGUAGACAUAUUUGCCACAUUCUGUGCUUUCCAAAAUUUGCACCGUUUCUGUGCUUGUAGCUUUAAUUAAAACUUAUAAAAUGAAUGAAUAAAUUGUGGUCCUUGGCUGCAUAAACG